GGGGAUUUGGCUCAGUAGUAGAGCACUUGCCUAGGAAGCGCAAGGUCCUGGGUUCGAUCCCCAGCCCCG
This 69-nucleotide transfer RNA is filed under the name Rattus norvegicus (Norway rat). It matches the Rfam family "tRNA". From Rfam's summary of the family: Transfer RNA (tRNA) molecules are approximately 80 nucleotides in length. Their secondary structure includes four short double-helical elements and three loops (D, anti-codon, and T loops). Lineage: Eukaryota; Metazoa; Chordata; Mammalia; Rodentia; Muridae. The record is from Rfam by way of RNAcentral.